This 388-nucleotide ribosomal RNA is filed under the name uncultured bacterium. RNAcentral's name for it is "partial 16S ribosomal RNA". It matches the Rfam family "Bacterial small subunit ribosomal RNA", at positions 523 to 918 of the family's 1533-position model. The record is from RNAcentral.
AUACAUAGGGGGCGAGCGUUAUCCGGAUUUAUUGGGCGUAAAGGGUGCGUAGGCGGUAAAUUAAGUCUAAGGUUAAAGUGCAGGGCUCAACCCUGUGAUGCCUUAGAAACUGGUUUACUUGAGUUUGGUAGAGGUAAGUGGAACUCCAUGUGUAGCGGUAAAAUGCGUAAAUAUAUGGAAGAACACCAGUGGCGAAGGCGCUUCACUAGCCCGAAACUGACGCUCAGUCACGAAAGCGUGGGUAGCAAAUAGGAUUAGAUACCCUAGUAGUCCACGCUGUAAACGAUGACAACUAAAUAUUGCCGCGAGGCAGUGUUGAAGCUAACGCAUUAAGUUGUCCGCCUGGGGAGUACGGUCGCAAGACUGAAACUUAAAGGAAUUGGCGGGG